Molecule: ribosomal RNA, 518 nt
Filed under: uncultured bacterium
Lineage: Bacteria
Description: bacterial SSU rRNA
Rfam family: Bacterial small subunit ribosomal RNA
Source: RNAcentral
AUUGAACGCUGGCGGCAUGCCUUACACAUGCAAGUCGAACGGUAACAGGUCUUCGGAUGCUGACGAGUGGCGAACGGGUGAGUAAUACAUCGGAACGUGCCCGAUCGUGGGGGAUAACGCAGCGAAAGCUGUGCUAAUACCGCAUACGAUCUACGGAUGAAAGCGGGGGAUCGCAAGACCUCGCGCGGACGGAGCGGCCGAUGGCAGAUUAGGUAGUUGGUGGGAUAAAAGCUUACCAAGCCGACGAUCUGUAGCUGGUCUGAGAGGACGACCAGCCACACUGGGACUGAGACACGGCCCAGACUCCUACGGGAGGCAGCAGUGGGGAAUUUUGGACAAUGGGGGAAACCCGUGAUCCAGCCAUGCCGCGUGCAGGAUGAAGGCCUUCGGUUGGUAACGUAGCUUUUGUACGGUAACGGAAAGGUACCGUUUACUUAAUAAAGUAAGGCGUCAUAGACGGUACCGUAACGAAGUAAGACACCGGACUAACUAACGUGCCAGCAGCCGCGUACGUAACG